Long non-coding RNA from Pieris napi, 969 nucleotides. RefSeq lists it as uncharacterized. The record is from RefSeq and is a predicted model, not a curated record. Lineage: Eukaryota; Metazoa; Arthropoda; Insecta; Lepidoptera; Pieridae. The transcript has 2 exons.
UAACUUUUAACCCUAGAAAGAUAACGUGCGCCUUAGAGGCGCCCGCGAAAUAUAUAUUUCGCUGCCAUUUUGUUACCGACGCGCAUACAAGUUUGUGUUUCCGCGCCAAUUCAGUCCUUGGUCAUCACUUCCGAGAGACGGCUUCUUCUGUUCGGAGCGUUUUCGCAUCAUGGCGAGCAGAAGAGUGCUGGAUGAAAGAGAAAUUGUUUCUUUAUUCAAUGAAGAAGAUGAAGGCGCAGAUGUCGGCAGUAACAGUGAGAUCGAGGGCCAUGUAAGUGUCUUCACAAUGUGCAAAGCGAUACUGAUGAUGAGUACGUAGAUGAAGCUAUGAUUUAUGAAAAUUCGAAUGAUCCUUCAUCGCAGAAUGUCACUGAAAAUACUGGACAUGACCAACGCCGCCUAAUGAUGUGAUCAGGGGCAAGAAUAGGCAUGUUUGGGCUACUGCUAAAGGACAAAAUAACAGAAGAACAUCUGCGAUCUAUAUAGUUCAUUCCAAUAGAGGGCCUAGUCGCAUGUCUCGAAAUAUUUUUGAACCACUUCCAUGCUUUGAGUUAUUUAUAACUGACGAGAUUAUACAAGAGAAAGUAUUGAGAAUAUCCUACCACAAACUAACCGAGAGAUGUCUGAAGAAGCUGAUGAGGAACCUCCUGCUAAAAUUCGACGGUACUGUAGCUUAUAUACAAAAAAAAGAAGAGAAUGUCCAAGAUGAGUUGCACAAAAUGUAAAAAGACAGUGUGCGGAGAACAUAAAAAAGGUGUUUGCAACAAUUGUCUUUAGCCGUUGAUUUUUCCAGUAUUUUUUUAAAAUUGAGACUGAUUAUAUUAUAAUUAAUUAAUUAAUAAGAAAAAACACUAUAAAAGUUACCUAUUUUUAAAAAUUUCUACCUAAGUACAGAAGACUUCUAAUUUUUGUUAAGGGUUUAUAAAUACCUACAAAUUUUCAUAUUUUGAAUAAAAAUUUAUGAUAAUA